RNAcentral lists this long non-coding RNA (633 nucleotides) under Rattus norvegicus (Norway rat). RNAcentral's name for it is "long non-coding RNA NONRATT023764". The record is from RNAcentral. Lineage: Eukaryota; Metazoa; Chordata; Mammalia; Rodentia; Muridae.
UUCAAAUCCUCUGGAGGCCCUGCUCCCUUGUGAGGUUGGGAAGUUUCAGCUUCACCUCUCCUCUGCCCUUCUGGAAUCAAACAUGAGGAAAUUCAUGGGUUUAAGGAUCCAGUGGUGGGCACCCAGCUGGGCACAGGAUACUAGAGCAAAGCUGUGGCGCCCCAGAAGUGGCCUGCACUGCCAACAUACAUAAAUACAUACAGUCUGAACUUGACACUGUGUAAUUUAGCCCAGAACAAUAUGUAUUUUGAAAUCAUUUAGGUGGAUGACUUUUGCAUUCCGAGUGGCUGGGGAGCCUUUAUUGGGGCACAUUUACUGUCUACAGAAGCAUGCCUUUGUUCUAAGACGUGGCUUUUGGAACAUUUUGCUGAGCUGUCCCUUUGAGUGAAUGUCACCCUCUCCCCGCUUUCAAAAGGCCCAAGAAUGCAGUCCCACAAUCCUGCUGUAGGAAACAGACACUGGGGUAAGAGAGAUGGCUCUUGUUUUUGCUGUUGGUUCUCAAACCUCUGUUUACAUUUUUUUUUAAUGUAACCAACCCAUAAUUGCAUUUUGCUUGUCAUGGUUCAAUCUGAUUGCAUUGUUGGAAGGACUAUUUUUGACCUUGUCCAAAUAAACUCUGCAGAGUAUUUCCAC